Long non-coding RNA from Bos indicus x Bos taurus (hybrid cattle), 1620 nucleotides. NCBI's taxonomy places the organism in Eukaryota, Metazoa, Chordata, Mammalia, Artiodactyla, Bovidae. The record is from Ensembl.
GCUGUGGGUUCUGAACACCACUUCCUCCUACUAAAUCAGCCUGCCCGUUUGCUCUGCAAUCUUCCCAUUAUUCAAUCACAUCUCCUGACAAGAGCUGGCAGCAUGCUGCUCCUGCCCCAGGUCUUGGUGGUGGCCUCCCUCUGGACAUACACAAGUGGAGAUAUUCCAAUAACACAACGCAUAACAUCAAUUACCAAGAAAAAAGGAAAUACGGCAUUUCUUGAAUGCCAAAUAAAAAUAGAUAAGUUAAAGAAGAAUGUAUACAUGCACUGGUACCGACAGAAACCAGAGCAGCCUCUAAAACGAGUUCUGUAUAUUUCCUCCAAUGAGAAUGUUGUUCACGAACAAGGGAUUAGUGAGGAAAGAUAUGAAGCAAGGAAAUGGCCGAGUAACUCACUGGUGAGCCUCAGGAUACACCAGGCUACUGAAGAGGAUGCGGGGCUCUACUAUUGCGCCUGCUGGGUGGAACACACGUUGCAUAAGAGAUCCGCUGUCAUUGAACAAAAACCGCCCUCAGGCCAACAUGUUGCAGAAGAGAUCCGCUGUCUGAACGAAAACCACCCUCACACCAAGGAGUCUGGGCAAAAGCACCCUACCCCCUCGACCCCCACCACCGCUGCCCCUGCUGCCCCGGCUUUCUGCCUCCUAUAAAGGGCUCUUUUCCUGCACAUGCGCCCUGAGCAGUGUCUGAGCAACUAGUCCAGGACCUGAUCUGUGAGGCUUUUUUUUCAGUUAGAUCACUUUAUUCUCCAUCCUAAACUCUUGGUCAUAGGCUGGCUUUUUAAAUUACCCCACAUGGUCACAGCUUCAUCAUGUAUGGGGGCCUCUUGGGAAGGAAGCCAUAAACCAGUGCUCAACAUGAUGUGUCGGCUUGGAAAGAAAGAAAGAAUGAAUGAAUGAGUGGCGGAAAAGACAAGGUCUUUUUAGUGACAUAGGACUGGAUUUCUAAGUCCUGCUCAGCCAUUCCCUGACAGGGUGACCUAGGCAAGUUACUGAAUCAUUUAUUUCUGUUUUCUCAUUUUAUUUUUAGUCUAUUUAUUUUAGAUUUUUAUUUGGGGUACAGUUGAUAUACUUUGUUAUGUUUCUGCUGUACAGUAAAGUGAAUCAGUUACACAUAUACAUAUAUCCACUCUUUUUUAAAAGAUUCUUUUCCCAUAUGGGCCAUUACAGAGUGUUGAGGAUAGUUCCCUGUGCUUGACAGUACAUUUUUAUUAGUUAUCUAUUUUAUGUAUAGUACUGUGUGUAUGUCAAUCCAAAUCUCCCAAUUUAUUCCUUCCCUUCUUAUCCCCUGGUAACCAUAAGUUUGUUUUCUACAUCCCUUGACUCUACUUCUGAUUUGUAACUAGGUUCCUUUAUACCUCUUUUUUUAAGAUUUCACAUACAGGCAAUAUCAAAUGAUAUUUGUCUUUCUGUGUCUGAUUUACCUCACUCUGUGUGGAAAUCUCUAGGUCCAUGGUUUCCCAAUUUUCAGAGGGCAUGGUGCUAACAACCACAUAGGUUGCUGAAGACUGAAUGAGGUUCACACAGGAAUGUUUCAGCACAGUGUUCAACAAAUCACAGUGUCCUAACCUGCCUAGACUAAAUCAAUUCAGAGUCAUCACAGCGAAAAUAGGAACUCAG